GUUCAUAUGAGGUCUCGAGCCCCUUCAAGCUCUUCCAGUCCUUUCUCUGAUUCCUUCAACGGGGGACCCGUUUUCAGUUCAGUGGUUUGCUGCUGGCAUUCGCCUAUGUAUUUGCUGUAUUCUGGGUGGGUCUCUCGGGAGAGAUCUACAUCCGGUUCCUGUCAGCCUGCACUUCUUUGCUUCAUCCAUCUUAUCUAAUUGGGUGGCUGUAUAUGUAUGGGCCACAUGUGGGGCAGGCUCUGAAUGGGUGUUCCUUCUGCCUCUGUUCUAAACUUUGCCUCCAUAUUCCCUCUCAAGAGUAUUCUUGUUUCCCUUUUAAAGAAGGAGUGAAGCAUUUUGGUCAUCCUUGAUUUUCAUGUGUUCUGUGCAUCUAGGGUAAUUCAAGCAUUUGGGCUAAUAGCCACUUAUCAACGAGUGCAUAUUAUGUGUGUUUUUCUGUGACUGGGUUACCUCACUCAGG
This 460-nucleotide long non-coding RNA is filed under the name Rattus norvegicus (Norway rat). RNAcentral describes it as "long non-coding RNA NONRATT024315". The record is from RNAcentral. Lineage: Eukaryota; Metazoa; Chordata; Mammalia; Rodentia; Muridae.